This is a non-coding RNA of Fukomys damarensis (Damara mole-rat), 186 nucleotides long. The record is from Rfam. Lineage: Eukaryota; Metazoa; Chordata; Mammalia; Rodentia; Bathyergidae.
AUCACUUCUAAGCCUUUUGGCUAAGAUCAAGUGUAAAAUAAGUUGAUUCAUUGAAAGAAAGAGACGGACAAGUUGAUAGAUAAUAAAGCAAUUUUUUUCAGUGCUGGUGAUCAAACCCAAGGCCUCACACGUUAGGCAAGCACUCUGCCACUGAGAUAUACUCCCGUCCCAAUGAGGCAAUUUUAA